CCUUAGCUCAGUUGGUCAGAGCUGCGGACUCAUAAUCCGUAGGUCGCUGGUUCAAGUCCAGCAGGGC
RNAcentral lists this transfer RNA (67 nucleotides) under uncultured Rectinema sp. It matches the Rfam family "tRNA", at positions 5 to 66 of the family's 71-position model. Rfam says of the family: Transfer RNA (tRNA) molecules are approximately 80 nucleotides in length. Their secondary structure includes four short double-helical elements and three loops (D, anti-codon, and T loops). Further hydrogen bonds mediate the characteristic L-shaped molecular structure. tRNAs have two regions of fundamental functional importance: the anti-codon, which is responsible for specific mRNA codon recognition, and the 3' end, to which the tRNAs corresponding amino acid is attached (by aminoacyl-tRNA synthetases). tRNAs cope with the degeneracy of the genetic code in two manners: having more than one tRNA (with a specific anti-codon) for a particular amino acid; and 'wobble' base-pairing, i.e. permitting non-standard base-pairing at the 3rd anti-codon position. Lineage: Bacteria; Pseudomonadati; Spirochaetota; Spirochaetia; Treponematales; Rectinemataceae. The record is from RNAcentral.